This is a long non-coding RNA of Rosa chinensis, 266 nucleotides long. RefSeq lists it as uncharacterized. The transcript is spliced from 3 exons. The record is from RefSeq and is a predicted model, not a curated record. NCBI's taxonomy places the organism in Eukaryota, Viridiplantae, Streptophyta, Magnoliopsida, Rosales, Rosaceae.
UUCUCUCUCCGGAAGUCGCCGAACGCCGCCACACCGUUGUCGGAACUCCGAUCCAAGCCAAAAUUUCCAGAUUUUCUUCUCUUCAUCCCUCUUUCCAUUUCUCCAACCAAAUCAUGAAAUUUAGCCAUUUAAUCCUCCAAAAACCCUAGAACCCGAAGCCAAAUUGGGGCUUUUCGUCAUUUCUUCAUCCCAAGUUCAAAUCAAGAGGCUAGGCUAGGGGUUUGGCAAGGAUUUGUGGUGAAGAAGGCCAAGGAGGAGGAUUAGGC